CAAAUCCUCAAGAACAAUUGUUUUCAUUAUAAUAGCUCAAACAAUCCUCUGGACAAUUUCAAAUAUUCUACUCUAAACAACUGAUAAAACAAAAAGGGAUAAGAGCAGAAAAUUACCAAACUGGCAUAUUCCUUGGUUUCGGAGUCGUGCAAUCCCAGUUUCGUUUUCUAUUGAAUGUAGGCCUAUUGAAUGUAUGUGUAUUGUGUAUGACACUGAAUCAUGGGGAAGACUAUUGUAGGCUGAUUCACCUUUAUUUCCCAAGAAAAUAUCGGACCAUGGUUUUUUUCCUGCCCCUCAAUCCUGAUUGGAAUAGAGCUAGAUCUAGAAUCUAGUCUAGAUUUCUAGAUAAAUCUGUUUAUGGCCGAGAAAAUAUUUUCUCGAUUAUUCUGCAGGUGUCUAGUGCACAGUGACUGAAAAGUGAUGUCUGAUAAAAAGAAAGGUAACUGUCUAAAUCUUGAUUGUUAGUUACAACAGAACUUAUGUAUUAUGUGAUGUAAUGUGCAUUAUUCCACCAUGUAUCAGAUACACAACAGAUGCCGAUCUGUACUAUGUGUAUUGCAUGCCAACAUUACUUCGAAAACUCAUUUAAGAGUAGAGAGUCAUCAAUGAUCGUGAGAUCCAAUAUAUGUAUAUAAAGAGAGAGAGAGAGAGAUAUCUUAUCACUGAUUUCUGAACAAGGUCAGCUGGUUAAGCAUGUAUCAGGAGACUAUUUGUUUAUCGAUUAAAGAUAUAUAUAAAUAGUACUUGUCAUGACACUUGGAAACAGGUGCUUGUCAAGUUUUGGGCAUUGAAUAUAUUGUGGUAUAUUCUGCAAGAUUGUUCAUUUGUUUUGAUUCUGAUUAAAGAAAUAUCCAUCAAUCAUUAGCAGUGGUGGGGAUGCAAUUAAAAUUGUUGGAGAUUAACAAAAUCAGAAGUAAAAUUCGAGAAAAUGGCCACCAAUAAUUGAUGACUUCCAAAUUCUGAGGGUCCUUGCAAGCAGCAAAUUUACAUCUUUUGUGCCUUUGAUCAGCUUUUUCUACUAAAAUCAUCUUUCACUACGAUGCCACAAAUAUAAUACACAUGUGAGGUAUGAUUGAGGUGAAAUCAGACACUCGUCAAAAUAAUUAAAUCAAAGAAACCGGCACUUUUCUGGACGUUGGGCUUUUUCAUUUAUAUUUAAAAACACAUAGAUCUAUUCUGUCUGGAUUUUACUUAAAAGCGUUGAUCAAAAGCACUAAAAAAAAUAAAUUUGCAAUUUCUAAAGAUACUUAACAAAUUGCCCAAACAACCGGGAGACAUUAAAGAAGAAUGGAGCCACUUCAAAGCAAAUGUGAACAGAGCAUUAAAAGAAGAGUGCAGCACCAGGAAAACCGGAGGGCAGAAAAGGAAAACAACUAUAAUAAUAUGGUGGAAUGACCAAGUAAAGGAAGCCAUUCAACUGAAGAAAAAGGCAUUCAAAAAGUGGCAGAAAUCAAAGAAAGAGAGGAAGAUACAUCCCAUACAGAAAGGAGCACCGCCAAACAACAAGGGUUGUAAAAGAAACUAAGGACAGAUCCUGGACAGUAUAUGGAGAACAGCUGGCAACAAAAUGUAAAGAAGACCCCCAGAGAGUUUUACAAGAGCAUUAAAAGCAUGAGGAUGCAGGAAGAACCAUUCAACUCAACUGAAACUGAAAUAGUCGAUGAUGAGAACGGAAACCCUAUUUUCAGUACACCAAAUACAUGUAUUAAGGAAAUCCUACAGGAGAAACAACACCAAACAGCUUCUCACCAAAAGAAACCACUCCAGAACCGUCAAUACUGCUGAGUGAAACUCAACACGUUAUAAAGAAAAACCCGACAAACAAAGCGCCAGGCGUUGAUAACAUCACAGCAGAGGAGAUCAAGCUAUGCUGCCAUAUCAGUGAACUCUGGCUAUGGAGGAUAUUUAACCUGGCCUUGUCGAAAAAUACAACACCCGAUGACUAGCAACGAGCUGUCAUUCUACCUAUUUGGAAAA
Molecule: long non-coding RNA, 1977 nt
Filed under: Aplysia californica (California sea hare)
Lineage: Eukaryota; Metazoa; Mollusca; Gastropoda; Aplysiida; Aplysiidae
Description: uncharacterized LOC118479161
Source: RNAcentral